AACGAACGCUGGCGGCAUGCCUAACUCAUGCAAGUCGAACGAGACCUUCGGGUCUAGUGGCGCACGGGUGAGUAACGCGUGGGAACCUGCCCUUAGGUUCGGAAUAACUCCCCGAAAGGGGUGCUAAUACCGGAUAAUGUCUUCGGACCAAAGAUUUAUCGCCUUUGGAUGGGCCCGCGUUGGAUUAGCUAGUUGGUAGGGUAAAAGCCUACCAAGGCGACGAUCCAUAGCUGGUCUGAGAGGAUGAUCAGCCACACUGGGACUGAGACACGGCCCAGACUCCUAAGGGAGGCAGCAGUGGGGAAUAUUGGACAAUGGGCGAAAGCCUGAUCCAGCAAUGCCGCGUGAGUGAUGAAGGCCUUAGGGUUGUAAAGCUCUUUUACCCGGGAUGAUAAUGACAGUACCGUGAGAAUAAGCUCGGGCUAACUCCGUG
This 433-nucleotide ribosomal RNA is filed under the name uncultured bacterium. Its description in RNAcentral is "partial 16S ribosomal RNA". It matches the Rfam family "Bacterial small subunit ribosomal RNA", at positions 29 to 507 of the family's 1533-position model. The record is from RNAcentral.